AUUUUGAAAGAUAGCUAUGAUAUUGAUGAGUUUGAUACUUCUUUAUCUUGUAAUGAGAAAAAUAGUUAUGGCUUGCAACUAGCUAGGAGUUCUUGUGCAUUAUUGGAUGAUUCUAGCUCUUUGUUUUAUGGCUCCUUACCUAGUGAUGUGUGUGAUGUUGAAUCUUAAGAUUCCCCAUCUUUAUGGGAUGACGCAUGUGAUGAUGGCUCCUAACCUAAUGAUGUGUGUGAUGUUGAAUCUUAUGAUACCCCACUUUUACGGGAUGAUGCAUGUGAUGAUUCUUUUGAUUUUAUUUUUAUUCCUUUGGCAAAAAGAUUCAAUUUUUGUGGUGAAAUGAACAAACGUGAGUGUGGAGAUGCAUUGUUGGAG
This 369-nucleotide long non-coding RNA is filed under the name Nicotiana benthamiana. RNAcentral's name for it is "long non-coding RNA (NBEN_LNC014172)". Lineage: Eukaryota; Viridiplantae; Streptophyta; Magnoliopsida; Solanales; Solanaceae. The record is from RNAcentral.